UACGAAGGGGGCUAGCGUUGCUCGGAAUCACUGGGCGUAAAGCGCACGUAGGCGGAUGUGUCAGUCAGGGGUGAAAUCCCGGAGCUCAACUUCGGAACUGCCUUUGAUACAGUACAUCUGGAGUCCGGAAGAGGAGAGUGGAAUUCCUGGUGUAGCGGUGAAAUGCGCAGAUAUCAGGAAGAACACCAAUGGCGAAAGCAGCUCUCUGGGACGGUACUGACGCUGAGACGCGAAAGCGUGGGGAGCGAACAGG
Molecule: ribosomal RNA, 253 nt
Filed under: uncultured bacterium
Lineage: Bacteria
Description: partial 16S ribosomal RNA
Rfam family: Bacterial small subunit ribosomal RNA
Source: RNAcentral